GGUACCAAUUUACUGUAUUAGUUCAUUUUCACACUUCUGAUAAAAGCAUACCCGAGACUGAGAAGAAAAAGAGGUUUAAUUGGACUUACAGUUCCACAUUGCUGGGGAGGCCUCAGAAUCACGGCAAGAGGCGAAAGGAACUUCUUACAUUGGCAGCAGCAGAAGAAAAUGAGAGAAGCAAAAGGAGAAACCCUUGAUAAACCCAUCAUAUUUCAUGAGACUUAUUCACUAUCAUGAGACUAGCACAGGAAAGACCAGCCCCCCUGAUUCAAUUACUUCUCCCUGGGUCCCUUCCACAACACGUGGGAAUUCUGGGAGAUACAAUUCAAGUUGAGAUUUGGAUGGGGAUACAGCCAAACCAUAACAAGGCAGGAAUUAUUAUUAACCCAUCUUCCCAAUAAGGGAACUGAGGCUGAAAGGAAGGGAUUUGCCCAGAAUCACACAGCUGGGAAAUGAGCAAGCCAGAACUUGCCUCAGGUGUGAUGAUCUCCAAGUCCAGGCAUACCCUUAGCCCCCAGGUCGCCCAAGUCCAGUUACCUCUGUUAACCAGGCAGCCCAGGAGGCAGUGCCACCGGCAGACAUCGUAUUCUCAGUGAAGAAGCCACCGAGUGCCGGCUGCCUGGUGAUGGUGUCUCGUGGCGUCUUGGCAGAUGAGCCACCCAGCCUGGACCCCGUGCAGAGCUUCUCCCAGGAGGCAGUGGACACGGGCAGAGUCCUGUACCUGCACUCCCGCCCUGAGGCCUGGAGCGAUGCCUUCUCACUGGAUGUGCCCUCGGGCCUGGGUGCUCCCCUCGAGGGUGUCCGCGUGGAGCUGGAGGUGCUACCCGCUGCCAUCCCACUGGAUGCGCAAAACUUCAGCGUCCCUGAGGGUGGCAGCCUCACCCUGGCCCCUCCACUGCUCCGUGUCACCGGGCCCUACUUCCCCACUCUCCCGGGCCUUGGCCUGCAGGUGCUGGAGCCACCCCGGCAUGGGGCUCUGCAGAAGGAGGACGGACCUCAAGCCAGGACCCUCAGCGCCUUCUCCUGGAGAGAGCUCCUCUGGGAGCCAGAACUUAUGGUCCCCAUUUUCCACCAAUGGAAGCUGAAGCCCUAAAAGAGUCAGUCUCCUCCUGCACCCAAAGGCAGGACAUGAAGGGUGCUGCUGGGGCCUGACUAGCCCUGGGCCUGCCCGUCAGUGGAAGAGCAGCUGAUCCGCUACGUGCACGACGGGAGCGAGACACUGACAGGCAGUUUUGUCCUGAUGACUGACACCUCCAAGAUGGGCUGCCAGAGCCAUCCUGUGGCCUUCACUGUCACCGUCCUGCCUGUCAAUGACCAACCCCCCCGUCCUCACUACAAACACAGGCCUGCAGGUGAGAGUAUUCCUGGCACCAUCCCCCAUGUCUGCUUCGAGAAAGAGGCCAGCGUCCCCUACUUCCCAGCACAGAGCUCCCCGUCUUUGAGCCUCAGUUACCUCCUCUGCAAAAUGGGGACGCUGCCGCAUGCCUCACAGGGUUGUUGGAAGGAGAGUUGUGAGAUUGUGCUGAAAUAGAACACAGGUGGGAGGUUUUGUUAUGGAUACUUGCAAGUAAGGUAGGCAGACUUCUGAGCGGCCACAGGUGGCUCUGCUGUUCCUUCUCCUGUGGCUCAGGACCAGAACACCCGACAGAAUCACUUACAAGCCCAUAAGGGCAGGUUUAAGGGCAGGAGCCAAUAAGAUUCCCACCUUCACCCCAGCAAGUAAAGGCCGUGGCUUGGCUCCCCAGACUCCUCCCCCUUGUGCCACAGCAGAGCAGGACCCCCUUUUGGCAGAGGUGGAAGUUGAGGCCCAGACAUGGGGUGGAACUUCUCCAUGCUUGUGAAAGUAGUUCUGGUAGAACAGAAAGGGCAUGGCUUCACUAAGCCCACAUGGCAGGACUUUGAAUGCCGGCUUCUGGGGUGCGUCCUCCUGGGUCAGCAAGAGUCCCUGAAGGUUCCACAGGAGAGCUGUCUUGGGCUGCCUCUGACAUGGGGCACUGAGGGGGGCUUUGGUGGUCUAGGAUGUGCCCAUAGAGGAUGACCUCAUGGUGCAGAGGCCACGGCCCCCUGGAACCACAAGCCAGGACAGCUGUGUGUCAGUAUGACCACCAGGUGGUGCCAUCCACCCGUGUUUGGUCUGGGAGCCCAGCAAUGGGGCCCUGUCCCCCACAUUAUGGCCCCUUCUGCCAAGACUCAGCCUGAGGGCUCCCUGGGGCCAGGGAAGGAAGCCCAGGAAUGCCAGAAAGCUCUGUUUCCCGGGCAUGUGAGUCCCACUGCACCUCUGCCCACAAGUAAUUGACCCAGCAAGACUGGUACCAGGACCUCAGGAACAGGCGCCUGCUCUGCUUGCAAGUGGGAGGCCUGAAAAGGGGUCCCCUUCGCCCAACAUGAGGAGGGCCCGUAACUGCUCUGGAAGCACCUUGGCCCAUCGCAGCGCUGAUUCUGUGCUGCAGAACAUGCCAACCAUCAGCCCCCCACUCUCCGCACCACCACCCCUCCCUCAGCUGGAAGGAGGGCCCGUUUCUAAAAUCACCAUUCCCACCUGUGCCCGGCCCUGGCCAGGCACACACGGAGGCUCUGAAAGGAGACCCCUGCCCCACCAGUGAGACAGAUUAAGGAGCACUGUUGGUCAGCGCUGGGGGUUUCUGGAGGUGAGAACUUGGUGAGGGUAAGAACAGGGGCCUUCCUGGGUAGGGGACACAAGCUGGCCUUGAGGGACACGCAGGACUAGGGCAGAUGGAGAGCAAGGAGGCUGGGCCUGGAGGGUGACCUUCCCUGGGGCCUUCCCUGGGGUGACAGGGAAGGUGAAUGUGGGGAGGGCCCUUUGUGCAGGGGAGCCAGAGCAGGGCCAGCAUUGAUGCCACCUGAAGGCCUGAGCCGCAGCAGGAUUGGAACCCUGGUGGCAGCCCAGGGCUGGGGAGGAAGGGGUGGGUGAGCAGGGCAAGGCAGAACCUUCACAGGCCUGUGUUCCCAGAUGUGGGAGGGGGCCACUGCGCCCAUCCCUACAGAGGCCCUGAGGAGCAUGGACAGUUACUCUGGGCCCCUGAGCAUCUGGUUUACGCCAUUGAGCAGCCCAGCAAAGGGCGGAUAGUGCUGUGGGCAGCGCUGGGCACCGAGGUGCGCAGCUUCGUGCAGGCUCAGCUGGGCGGUGGGCUCGUGCUGUUCUCACACAGAGGUGGGUGCUGAUGGCCAGGCCCUGGGUUCCUGCUGCCUGCAGGGGUGCCCUGAGAUGAGGAGCCAGCUCGGGCCGGCCGGACCCAAUGACUCUGUCUUCAGGAGCCCUGGACGGAGGCAUCCACUUCAGCUUCUCUGAUGACAAGCACACUUCCUCCAGACACUUCUUCCGAGUGGCGGCCCAGAAGCAAGUGCUCCUCUCGCUGGAGGGCAGCCAGACGCUGACUGUCUGCCCGGAUGGGUGUGCUGAUUGUGGGCAUUCCGGGGUGUGCCAGGAGCUGGGGCAGAGCUGAGGGUGGCACGCCAGGGUCACGCUGCCUCUCUGCAGAGACAGGCCUGUGCCUGGAUUUCAAAGGAUGGUGGCCCCUUUUGCCUCUGGCAGGGACCAUCCAGCCAUUCAGCCAUUCAGCAGCCAGAGCCUCAGAGGCAGCUCCAGUGCAGGCACCAACCCCCAGCUUCUGCUCUACGGUGUGGUCCUGGGCCCCCAGCCGGGCCGGCUGUUCCAUGUCCAGCAGGACAGCAUAGGGGAGGACAUGGUGAACUUCACUCAGGCAGGAGGUAAGGGCCUCACUCUGCAGCCACCACUCAGAUGCCCACAGCCUCAGGUGGCCACUGUGCCAUGGACAUCAUGUGGACGUGGGUGCAGGUUCCAGCAUCGCUGGCAGCAGACGCUCCCGGUCCUGCCAUGGUCCAGGCCCUGGUGUCCUGCCCUCCAGGAGCCACCAGGCUGGCAGAGCAAGUUCAUGUUCCCAGAAGGAGAAAGAAGGAUGCAGGAAGUUGGGGAUACAGGGCCCUAGAGCAGGGCUGGGGUCUUGGGGUGUGGCUUCCAGAAGGAAGCUACAGCCAGACCCAAGGGUCUGGAGAGGGGGCACCAUGUGGGGGCACUAGUGGCACCCCAGUAGCUGGCGAGGGGCAGCGCUUGGUCCAGAGGGUUGGAGUUGGAGGUGAAGCAGCUGCUGGGCCUGUGGGCAGAGGCGUGAGCCUGGGGCUCAGGUCAGGUGCCAGCCAGAGGCAGAGUGGAUCCUAGGGGCAGAUGAGCUGAUGAAAGGCAGCUGAGUCGGCCAAGAGGGUGAAGCCAUGGUUCAUCCGUCCUGGUGGCUUCAGAGACCACUAGGAAGAACUAGAGCUCUCAGCCAUGGGUAGCAGCAGACUAUCUGUGAUCACUGUGCCAUGGGGGCCGGGCCAGUCAUCGCUUAAACGAACACCUCUUCCCGAAGGCAGAACAGGGGUUGUUCCAUAGCAGGGCAGAGUAGCGCAGACUCUUCCGUGGGCCAUCCUGGGCAGGUGGUGCAACUGAUGCUCCCGCCAGGAGGCUGCAUGGGCAUCUGGACCCAGCAUAUGAUCACAGUGAGUUCUGGGUAGGGAGUGGUCUUGUGGGGCGCAGAGCUGACUCUGUCACUCAGGAGCCAUGGCAUGCUGUACUGCCCCAAGUACCUCCAGAGGGGUCUGGCUGGCUGGUCCCCCCGCCAGCCCUUGAAAAUGGCACAGCCCACCCCUAGCCCCCUUUCCAAGUCCCCUUGCUUGGGCAGGGACCUCCUGAGCCUGGCACUCUCCCUCCUGAGAGGCGCAGAUGGUAUUCAGCAAGUGCAAAGCCGAGGUUUCUUGGGCCUCUCACAUCAACACCUCCCAGGCCAGGUUCUGUAUUUCCCUGGAGCCCCACUCCUGCUAUGGCCCCCUCCCCACGAUGAGAUAUUCAUCAGGCUGGUGUCUACAGCUGCUGUGUACCCUCGGUUGCUGGGAGACUUUGUCAAGAAUGCACAGGAAUGGGGAGGGCACGGGACCCGGCCAUCAGCAACCCUCGCGCACUCUAUAGUCCCACAUUACUCAGAGCUUCCCCUUGCCCCAGCAGUAUGAAGGACUAGACUGAAUGGGCACCAGGCUACCAGGCUGGCAGUGCCACACAGGCAAGUGGGGAAGAAGCUACAUGGGCUAACUGGCCCGCUCGGGGAGGAGGGCAGGACUGGGGAUUGUCUUGACAGCAGCCCUGUCCCACAACACUGAACUGGGCAGGGAAGGGGUCAGGUGUCCCCCCGACAUGGGACUGGAUUCCAGAGCACGGGGCCUGGCUGCCAGAACCGGCCCUCUCCUUCCAAGGCACUGGGACCCUGGAUGCCGGAGCCGCGUGUGGUGGAGCCUGCCCCCCAGGGAGUGCUGAGUCCCGGAGGUGGUCGUUUUUGGGGAGGGGGCUAUGGGGCUCGUCCCACCUGCCCCCUUCUUUCCAGCACUUACAUGGCGCUUCCCUCUAUUUUCACUCUUGGCGGCCGCCCCACACAUUGCAUUCCUCCUCCUUCUCACUGUCCUCCAUCCUCCAUUCCCUCCAACUCCUCUCCCAGCCCCUGGGGUGCCUACCUCAGGUCUGAACCCUGAGAUACGCUGGGUGUGUGGAUUUCCUUCAGCUACCCUGAUGUCCCCACUUCCAAGUCCUGACUCCUUUGAGCCAUCCCAGGGGGUGUCCAGCCACUGGACCGCAGGAGCACAGACCAGGCUGUGACUGUGUGACCAUCAAGGUUUGUGAUGUGUGUGACACAUCACAUGAGUGUGAGAAUGUGAGAAUGGCACCAAGCCUGGGCUAGGACAGAAGCAGCUGGGGAAGGAGCCUGGGGGCCAUGAGCAAUCUGAUUUUUUAUCCACCUCCCCCGCCCCGCCACCUUACCCAGUCUAAACCAAUGUGGUAAGGGUGGCUGCCGGGGAAGGGAUGGGAGUGUCUGAAGCCCACUUCAUUCCCAAAGAUUUCUAAGGAAAAGCAUUCUACAUCCUCUGGCUUGGACUUGUUGACCCAUGGCCCUCUUUCAAGGACAUUCACUCUGAUUCCCAGUGUGCCCUGUUUCCACUGGCCACGUUCUCUAAGGAAGAACAAUAGUAUCUGUUUUUGUUUCCAAAUGGCUGGAGAGUGGGGCUGUGGGUCCAGCACCCAUAAACCAAAAUGACGCAAGGAUUGGGGCUUGCCCUAGGAUGUGCUGAUGACCAACGGAGAUGGGUAGAGGCAAGCAGCAUGGUAUUGGGCAAGACUGGGAGUCCAGAGAUGCUGCUUCACCGUGGGACUUCAGGCAAGUCCCUUUCCCUCCCAGAGCCUCAGCAUCCUUUCUAUCAAAUGAUUUCUUUCUGCCUUUCUCCCAGGGUGGCUGUGGGGAUUAAGGGAGACAGUGGUCAUAGGGAUGCUGUGUUAACUGUAGAUGUGGCCAUAGAAGCACUUUGCUAACUACCAACGUGAGUUGAGACUCUUCAGGGUAUUUGGCACCCAGGUCUGUGGUGAGGUGUGACAUAUGGGAUGUAAGGUUUGAUGCCUGCUCCAACUCUAGUCUUACUAACGCAAGCAAAACAUUUGGCAAGUCAUGACCCUGCCUUGGGGAAAAGGGCAGUCUGGGAGAGCUUCUUCAAGGCAGCCUGGCUUCAAUGGAGUCCAGGGUAUGACUGAGAUAGGCUUAUGUGACGAGGAAUUGGAGGGUAUCUGGGUAAAGAGCUGCAGUGUGGGCAGAGGUUUAGUGUGGGACUCACUGAGGACAGCCACUGGCCAAAGUGGGGAACAGAGACAGAAUGAGAAAGAGCUCUGUGGGGAGGGUGGGGCAUAGGGUGGAGAACUUCAAAGUCCGAAGAGUAUGACUUGUUGGGGCUCAAUGCUCUAGGCAGUAGGGAGCCAUGGAAGGCUCUUAGGUAGAGAAAUGGCAGCUGAACAUUAGCGAGCAAGCGCUGUCUCCACGAGCAGCAUGGAUGGUCCUCUGAGCAUGCCAGCAUGAGUGUGCAGGGAGCUGGUGCAAAUGCCUCUGUGUGGGUGAGCUUCUGUGUUGUGACUCUGCCCAUGUGUGUGCUUCAGUGUGCUGAGUGGCUGCACGCCCCAGAUCUGUGCUGCACGUGCCAGCCAGUGAGGGUGCUGGGCACUGGGAGGUGGCAGGGAAGGAGGCGUAUGCGUGUUGUGGGCAUGUGUGUUAGCGUGUGCAUGCCAACAGUGGGGCCUCACAGCAUGUGUGUGCGCACCCCAGCAUGUGCGUGUGUGUGUCCCCCAACCCCAGACCUGCCCCACCCAUGCAUGUGAGCUGCCAUGUUGAUUUGAUGCUGUCUCUCAGAAUCACUAUCAGUGGCCCCUGAGGAGCAUCAGCCAUGGUAGGUACGUGCCUCGCCGCCUGCUGCAUGAAUGGUGUUCCCGCCCCACUGCACCAGCUCCACACGGGGGCACACCUGGGACCUCAGAUCCAGGCUCCCUGCCCCUCCUUUCUGGAGCUGCAGAUUUGCUCUUUCCUCUUUCUGUCCUCGUGCUGUGGCUCUGUCACCUCCCUUCCGUGUGAGCCGUGGGACUCAGCACCACUGCCCAUGGCCUCCAUGGCUGAGCCUGGGUGCUCUUGGAACAGGCUCCAUGCCCAAGCUGGCAGACAUGGGUGCUCUCUGGAGCCAUCAGAGAGGGCAUAGAGCUCAUGGUUUAUGGUAUAGGGGCUGGGAGCUUGGAGGGCAUUGUGUGGGGCUGGACUCUGAGGAGGCCAGAGGUCUAGGAACGUCAUCCUGGGCACUCCAUACCGGUUGUGCAGUCUGAGUCAUGCUGCCAGGGCAGGGCAUCCAGCUCCCAGCCUGGGAGUGCCGAGAGCCGAAUCCACUGCAGAGCAGGGGUGAUAGUCAGGGUCCCACCUCCUCUAUCUGUCGGCAAUCCAGUGAUGAUCUAGGAUAAAACCUUAAAGUCCCAUACACAUGGUCAUCCCACAACACACCUCACAGGCCAGGCAGGGACACACAGCCCACUUCCCAUCCUCCCAGGUACCAUCAUAGCUGCUAGUGUGUGACCAAAGGCAGGGUCCCUGGCCCCCGCUGAAGCAUUACCACAGGCCAGCAGGCUCACACACCUUGGCCAGUUGCUCCUAGGGGUCACCUGUGCUAUUCAGCCAACGGGACCACAGUGCCUGUUGGCCCAGCUGAGCUCUGCCUAGCGAGCCCACCUGCCUCUCCUGCCAUAGACUUUCCCUCUUCUGCUUUUCCCAGCAGGAAGGGCCCAGCCUCACCUAUGAAACCUGCAGCCCCCCCGCCCCGCAACCAGUUGAGGCUCCCGUCUUAGACUUAUAAGUCUAUGGCCAGUGGCAUCCAGCUACCUGCCCUCCCUGCCUUCCCCAGGGUCCCUUCAGAGGACCCUGGUCUUUCUGACCACCCAGAGGGGCCUCUGGCACUCACUCCAGCCAUCCAUCCCUUAUAGCUUCACCACUUUGGUUCAAGCAGUGUUCCUUAUCAGGCCAGGUGGCAGUUGGGUGGGGCUCCCCAAACAAGAGGUGCCCCUGGGCCAGUGGGUUGGAAGACAGGGUGACCAGAGAAGGGGGAAGCCCGAGGGGGUUGAGCAUUGGUCUGAACUGUGGGUGCACUGCCUGGGUGCCAUGGGUGAGGCCAGCAUGUGUGGGCUGGGGAGGGCCACCACAUCCCCCAGGCACCACCUGUGAAGCUCUGGCUCCUCCCUCCAUCUUCCUCCCCUUUCCCUUCCAGCCCCUUUUCCAGGAACCUUUGCCACACCCGCACCUGUGCCCUCCCCUCCCUGGCCCUCCCACAGCUCCUGUGGUGCGCCAGUGCUCUGUGCUUGCCUCACCAGCUCUCUGCUUGCUUUUCUCUCUCCUCUUUUUGCUCUACUUCUCUCCAACUGCCAGCUGAUUGGGUCAGGCAAGUCCACCCCAUCCUGAGAGCCCCAGCCACACUUUGACCUCUAAACAGAUCCUCCUCUUCUCGGAGGCCUCCCUUUCCAGGCCUGCUGGUGGGUCUCCUGUGACUUGACAGUGGCUCCGCAGCCCCAAAGCCAGCCCCCUUCAUCUGUGAUUUAGUCUGUUGUAGUGCUGAGUUGACACAUCCAGGUGUGACCGUUGCUGAAAAUUUGUGCCCCUUCUGUGGUAUGCCCUGCCCUGUUCUAUAAAUAGCUAUAAAUACUCUGUGGUACGCCCUGCCCUGUUCUAUAAAUAGCUAUAAAUA
Non-coding RNA from Chlorocebus sabaeus (green monkey), 9096 nucleotides. NCBI's taxonomy places the organism in Eukaryota, Metazoa, Chordata, Mammalia, Primates, Cercopithecidae. The record is from RefSeq and is a predicted model, not a curated record.